GUGGGGAAUAUUGGGCAAUGGGGGCAACCCUGACCCAGCAACGCCGCGUGAAGGAAGAAGGCUUUCGGGUUGUAAACUUCUUUGACCAGGGACGAAACAAAUGACGGUACCUGGAAAACAAGCCACGGCUAACUACGUGCCAGCAGCCGCGGUAAUACGUAGGUGGCAAGCGUUGUCCGGAUUUACUGGGUGUAAAGGGCGCGUAGGCGGGACUGCAAGUCAGAUGUGAAAUCUGGGGGCUUAACCUCCAAACUGCAUUUGAAACUGUGGUUCUUGAGUGAUGGAGAGGCAGGCGGAAUUCCUAGUGUAGCGGUGAAAUGCGUAGAUAUUAGGAGGAACACCAGUGGCGAAGGCGGCCUGCUGGACAUUAACUGACGCUGAGGCGCGAAAGCGUGGGGAGCAAACAGGAUUAGAAACCCGAGUAGUCC
This 428-nucleotide ribosomal RNA is filed under the name uncultured bacterium. RNAcentral's name for it is "partial 16S ribosomal RNA". It matches the Rfam family "Bacterial small subunit ribosomal RNA", at positions 354 to 796 of the family's 1533-position model. The record is from RNAcentral.